AACCGAUACAGGUGGUCAGGUAGAGAAUACCAAGGCGCUUGAGAGAACUCGGGUGAAGGAACUAGGCAAAAUGGUGCCGUAACUUCGGGAGAAGGCACGCUGACAUGUAGGUGAAGUGAUUUACUCAUGGAGCUGAAGUCAGUCGAAGAUACCAGCUGGCUGCAACUGUUUAUUAAAAACACAGCACUGUGCAAACACGAAAGUGGACGUAUACGGUGUGACGCCUGCCCGGU
RNAcentral lists this ribosomal RNA (233 nucleotides) under Salmonella enterica subsp. enterica serovar Cerro. RNAcentral describes it as "partial 23S ribosomal RNA". It matches the Rfam family "Bacterial large subunit ribosomal RNA", at positions 1652 to 1867 of the family's 2925-position model. The record is from RNAcentral. Lineage: Bacteria; Pseudomonadati; Pseudomonadota; Gammaproteobacteria; Enterobacterales; Enterobacteriaceae.